UUCGCAAUGCCCGAAAGGGUGACGAAGCGACGCCGCGUGGGUGAAGAAGGCCUUCGGGUUGUAAAGCCCUGUCAGGAGUUAUGAAAUGUAGGUGCGAUAAUACCGUGCCUAUUUGACAAAGGCUCCAAAGGAAGCCACGGCUAACUCUGUGCCAGCAGCCGCGGUGAUACAGAGGUGGCAAGCGUUGUUCGGAAUUAUUGGGCGUAAAGAGCACGUAGGUGGGUUUGUAAGUCAGAUGUGAAAGCCUUCUGUUCAACGGAAGAAUUGCAUCUGAAACUGCGAGUCUUGAGUGUAGGAGGGGAGAAUGGAACUUCUGGUGGAGCGGUGAAAUGCGUAGAUAUCAGAAGGAACGCCGGCGGCGAAAGCGAUUCUCUGGCCUAUUACUGACACUGAGUGUGCGAAAGCUAGGGGAGCAAACGGGAUUAGAUACCCCGGUAGUCCUAGCCGUAAACGAUGGGCACUAAGUAGAGGGGUUUU
RNAcentral lists this ribosomal RNA (477 nucleotides) under Candidatus Scalindua marina (nom. nud.). RNAcentral's name for it is "bacterial SSU rRNA". It matches the Rfam family "Bacterial small subunit ribosomal RNA", at positions 365 to 832 of the family's 1533-position model. The record is from RNAcentral. Lineage: Bacteria; Pseudomonadati; Planctomycetota; Candidatus Brocadiia; Candidatus Brocadiales; Candidatus Scalinduaceae.